RNAcentral lists this transfer RNA (69 nucleotides) under Lepus yarkandensis (Yarkand hare). Its description in RNAcentral is "tRNA-His". It matches the Rfam family "tRNA". From Rfam's summary of the family: Transfer RNA (tRNA) molecules are approximately 80 nucleotides in length. Their secondary structure includes four short double-helical elements and three loops (D, anti-codon, and T loops). The record is from RNAcentral. Lineage: Eukaryota; Metazoa; Chordata; Mammalia; Lagomorpha; Leporidae. RNAcentral also lists the same sequence under 1 other name.
GUAAAUAUAGUUUAAAAAAAACAUUAGAUUGUGGAUCUAAUAAUAGAAGAUUGUAUCUCCUUAUUUACC